RNAcentral lists this ribosomal RNA (435 nucleotides) under Triticum aestivum (bread wheat). RNAcentral's name for it is "partial small subunit ribosomal RNA". The record is from RNAcentral. Lineage: Eukaryota; Viridiplantae; Streptophyta; Magnoliopsida; Poales; Poaceae.
AUGCCUUCUUUGAAAAUUAGCUAUAACUACCUACCUUUCCUUCUAAAAAAAUGUUUCUCAUAUUGUGCCCUUUUCCCUGAAGAUUAUAGGUUUUAUAAUUUAGAUAUUACUAGCUUUUGGACUGCAAUAGGUAUCUUAGAUUCUAGUUGCCAAAAUAAUAAGAAUUAUUUAGAAGAACUAGUGGACAAUGGUUUUCUCAUGAAGGGAGGUGACAAUUCUGAAGAACAAUACUAUGUGAUGCAUGAUUUAUUGCAUGAACUAUCACAUAAUGUUUCAUCACAAGAAUGUGUUAAUAUAAGUAGUUUAAAAUUUAGUGCUGAUAACAUCCCACAGUCUCUUCGACACUUAUCAAUCACAAUAGAAGAUAUAUAUGAUGAAAGUUUUGAAGAAGAAAUGCGUAAACUGAAGGGUAGGAUAGACAUUGGAAAUUUGUGA